GUAAUCGCAGAUCAGAAUGCUGCGGUGAAUACGUUCCCGGGCCUUGUACACACCGCCCGUCACACCAUGGGAGCCGGUAAUACCCGAAGUCAGUAGUCUAACCGCAAGGGGGACGCUGCCGAAGGUGGGUUCGAUAAUUGGGGUGAAGUCGUAACAAGGUACC
This 163-nucleotide ribosomal RNA is filed under the name uncultured bacterium. RNAcentral's name for it is "partial 16S ribosomal RNA". It matches the Rfam family "Bacterial small subunit ribosomal RNA", at positions 1338 to 1500 of the family's 1533-position model. The record is from RNAcentral.